CACUCUGACCUGCUGUUGCUAAGGGAUGUGACGUCAUAGGAGUAUGGCAGACAGGCUCAGAUAGAAGGAAGGGUUAGGAAAGAUAGUUAGUGUUUGGCGAAGAGAAAACGGUAGCAAAUAAAAUCCGUCUCCAUCCUUACUCAAACGAAAGGGAAUGCCACCCAAAAGGACAGGAACAGAAUCUACACAUUUUAGGCAUUCCGAAAAAUCUCAUAUUGUGAUGUUUUGAAAAACGGGGAGGUUGAAAAGGGAUGGUGAAAUUUGGGUUGUGAAAGAAGAAACAAUAAUAUUAAAUAUAGGGAGACGGGGGAGAGCUGAGAGAAGAGGAAAUAUUUAGAAAUAAUACUAUUGCAGAGGUUUAAAAGGUUGAAUUAGAAAAUAUUCUGGGAUUUAUUGUAUUACUAUUACUUAUAUUCUUUGAAAAUAUUAAAUAAAAGCCAUGGAAUUGAGAGUUGGAAACAGAUACAGACUGGGGAGGAAAAUUGGAAGUGGUUCAUUUGGAGAUAUUUAUUUGGGAAAACAAGCUACCGAAGGUACUAGCAGUGGCAGCAUAAAAGGAGCAGAUAUUGCUGCUGGAGAAGAAGUUGCAAUUAAACUAGAAUGUGUGAAAACCAAACACCCACAGCUCCACAUAGAGAGCAAGAUCUACAAAAUGAUGCAGGGAGGAGUUGGUAUUCCCACAAUUAAAUGGUGUGGAGCAGAAGGUGAUUACAAUGUCAUGGUGAUGGAGCUACUGGGACCAAGUCUUGAGGACCUCUUCAACUUCUGCUCAAGAAAAUUCAGCCUAAAGACUGUCUUGCUGCUGGCUGAUCAGAUGAUAAGCCGCAUUGAGUAUAUCCACUCGAAGAACUUCAUCCACAGAGAUGUGAAGCCUGACAACUUUCUAAUGGGACUGGGGAAGAAGGGGAACCUCGUUUAUAUCAUCGACUUCGGCCUUGCCAAGAAAUACCGGGAUGCACGCACACACCAGCACAUUCCCUAUCGCGAGAACAAGAACCUGACCGGCACAGCCCGCUACGCUUCCAUCAACACACAUCUGGGAAUCGAACAAUCCCGCCGUGAUGACUUGGAGUCCCUGGGCUAUGUGCUGAUGUAUUUCAACCUGGGCUCUCUGCCCUGGCAGGGCCUCAAAGCAGCCACCAAGAGGCAAAAAUACGAACGAAUCAGCGAGAAGAAAAUGUCAACCCCCAUUGAAGUCCUCUGCAAGGGCUACCCAUCCGAGUUUGCAACAUACCUGAAUUUCUGCCGGUCUCUUCGUUUUGAUGACAAACCAGAUUAUUCAUACCUGCGACAACUCUUCAGGAAUCUCUUCCACAGACAAGGGUUUUCCUAUGACUAUGUGUUCGACUGGAACAUGCUUAAAUUUGGUGCCAACAGAGCUGCCGAAGAUGCAGAGAGAGAGAGGAGGGAGCGAGAGGAGAGAAUGAGGCACACACGGAAUCCAGGCACUAGGGUGCUGCCGCCCACAACCGCUGGGAGGCCAAGGGGAACCCAGGAUGUCGCACCGCCCACUCCUCUGACUCCCACCUCUCACACUGGUAGGAACAAAGGCAAAUACGUCACCCCGCCCUGUAUCGGGAAUGGAGCGCGAGAGGAAAGUCAGUAUGAGAUUGCACCGCGGUGCCCCAGUCAACAUCUCCUCCUCUGACCUCACAGGGAGGCAGGACACCUCACGCAUGUCAACGUCACAGAAUAGCAUUCCCUUCGAACACCACGGCAAGUAGCUGCUCGCCACGUUCUUGUUUGAAGGCAGCACUGGAUCCUAUCUCGAGUGGCCCCCAGUGGUCUCCAGUCUGCUGUACACCGAUGAAAGAAAGCUAUUUGCCAUGGAGGGCAGAUAAUGCAUGGCUGAUCUCUACUAGUACUAUUCCAACAGCUUCACUGAUGCAAAAAAUAAACAAACCCCAAAAUGAACAAAUUAAAAAACAGUUAAUGAUGCCUUUUAAAGAAACAAAACUCAAGUUUAAAAAACAAAAAAAUGCAUACAAAAACAGGAACAGAACCAUUUUUCUGCAGCCCCCGCCUUUACCAAGCAGAUGUUGCAAGAAAAGCCACCUGCUGCAAGCACCAUUGAGUAGCAGCAGAAGUGGGCUUUGAGAGACAAUUCACCAAGAGGACUGGCUAUCCUUGCCAUUUUUGUUCUCCCUCCACUAUUGGCAAAGUAAUGAUUUUAUUAUCUUACUGUAUAAUGAUAGACAUUAACUUUUUAAAACUUUGUUUUGUUAAGCUAAAUUUAACAGGCUCCAGUCUGUCUAGAUGGGUAGUAUGUCGGUGUAUUGCUUUUAUUGUCUGAUUAUACAAAAACAAUUUAAACUUAAACUUUUGAACUUAAGACUUGAAAUUCCUCAAGGCUCACAGGAAAUGUUUCAUGUGAAAUUUAAAAAUAAUUAUUAAACUUUACCUUUUUGUUUUGUUUUUUGGUAUGGACCCUUUUUAUGCUUGUUAAUGGCCUAUGUUCCUUUUUUUCUAUUUGACUAAGGAUUUCAAGACAUUUUUUGCUAGCUAGCUAGCUUGUUUUAUAGAACCAUUUAAGUUUUUCUUCCACAUUCAUAUACUUUGACACUGACAAGUUGUGUGCAAUAAUGUUGUCUGAAUUGCCUAGUGAUGCCAGUGGGAGCCACAGUUGCAACUAACAUCCUUAAAAACAUUUUAAAGCCAAUGACAAUGUGGAAGAAGGAACUGGGUAACAUUUUAAAUAUCUUUUUUUUUUUUUUUAACACAGAUUUCUGUUGUAUUUUAAUAUUUAGAAAUAGUCUUUGGUGGGGUUCCUGGUUUCACUGAAUGACUUCCACAUUGAAGCUCUCUGUACUUUGUUGCUGUUUGUCGCAGUCCCAUAAUGUUUGUUUUCUAUUGACAUUUUACACCAUUUCAAAGCUGUGAAAUAAUAAAACUUGUAUAAUAGAAAUGUAAAUGUAUCCAUUUGCUGUCAUGUGAAUCUUGCGAAGUUCUGUCAUUUUAACCUGAGCUAUCAAGCCUUAUUUAAUAGACUGCAGGGACCUGGUAGUAUAAUAGGGCUUUAGUGUUCAUGCCUCCUUGAUUAGCAGUUCUUGGACACACACUUGUUUUUUGCCAACUCAAAGGAGCAGUAUUUAUAAUAGGACCUCUGCCUCUUAAACCAAUCUUACCAAGGGAUCAGACAAAAGGGACCGGUGUCUCAUGCAAAACAAGUGGCGAGUUAUGGUUAAGCCCCAUUUUAUAACUUGCUUCUUUAAAUAAAUGGACUGAUCUUCCUAUUUUAAUAUACAUUUUAAAUGGUACCAAAAACAGAUUUGUGACUCUUGGUCUGUAAAAAGUAGGGUAAUCAGACAUUUAAGUGACAUGUUAUUAUUAAGUGACAUACUUUGCUGUUUUAAAUAAAUAAAUAAAUAAUUGGAGAGAAACACUGCAUGUAAACUGGGCUUUGGCAAAGUUUAAUAGCUAUUGCUAAUGUGUCCUUAAGCUGCAUCAUAGAACUGUGUACAGUAGUGAUUUCUGCCUUUAAGAAAAAAAUAAAUAAAUCUUGCUGUUGGAAUGCAAAAGGUUGACUGAGGCAUGUGCACAAAAACCUAGGUUAUAUACCUGAAUUUAUAAGAUCUCUGCUUUAACAUUGCUAUAAGGGAGAGGAGCUGUUCUGUGGGACUUUGUUUGUAAUUAUACAGUCCACACUAUAAAACUUUUCCAUAACCAGUACCUUCAACUGUUUCAAUUGAGUCAACUUCUUGUGUAUGUCAGUCAGAAGAUAAUGAUUCUGACUAUUUGUCAUUCUCUUCAUUAUGGCUGACCACAUCAACUUUCCACAUAUCUCCUCCCUUUACACAUUAGCAAGUCUGUAGUAUCCUGUGUAAUGGUAAUCUAUUAGCCCUGUAAGACUUUUUUUUUUUUUUCUUUCAUUUGUAUUGCCACUGUAUUUGUGUACUUUAAAAUUGUGUAAAUAAAUUAUUACUUGUAAA
This is an RNA transcript of Acipenser ruthenus (sterlet), 3929 nucleotides long. It is a transcript of the gene named casein kinase I, with no coding region annotated. The record is from RefSeq and is a predicted model, not a curated record. The transcript is spliced from 11 exons. NCBI's taxonomy places the organism in Eukaryota, Metazoa, Chordata, Actinopteri, Acipenseriformes, Acipenseridae.